CAGUAGCCACGGUAAUACGCAGGUGGCAAGCGUUGUCCGGAAUUAUUGGGCGUAAAGGGCUCGCAGGCGGUUUCUUAAGUCUGAUGUGAAAGCCCCCGGCUCAACCGGGGAGGGUCAUUGGAAACUGGGAAACUUGAGUGCAGAAGAGGAGAGUGGAAUUCCACGUGUAGCGGUGAAAUGCGUAGAGAUGUGGAGGAACACCAGCGGCGAGGGCGACUCUCUGGUCUGUAACUGACGCUGAGGAGCGAAAGCGUGGGGAGCGAACAGGAUUAGAUACCCCGGUAGUCCCUGUCUCUUAUAC
This 301-nucleotide ribosomal RNA is filed under the name uncultured bacterium. Its description in RNAcentral is "partial 16S ribosomal RNA". It matches the Rfam family "Bacterial small subunit ribosomal RNA", at positions 509 to 807 of the family's 1533-position model. The record is from RNAcentral.